CUACGGGAGGCAGCAGUGGGGAAUCUUGCGCAAUGGCCGAAAGGCUGACGCAGCGACGCCGCGUGGAGGAUGACGCCCUUCGGGGUGUAAACUCCUGUUGCCCGGGACGAAUACCUGUUUCGACAGGGGUGACGGUACCGGGUGAGGAAGCACCGGCUAACUCUGUGCCAGCAGCCGCGGUAAUACAGAGGGUGCGAGCGUUGUCCGGAAUCACUGGGCGUAAAGGGCGCGUAGGUGGCGCGGUAAGCGUGUGGUGAAAGUCCGGGGCUCAACCCCGGAUCGGCCAUGCGAACUGCCGCGCUGGAGCACGGUAGAGGCACAUGGAAUUCCGGGUGUAGCGGUGGAAUGCGUAGAGAUCCGGAAGAACACCGGUGGCGAAGGCGGUGUGCUGGGCCGUUGCUGACACUGAGGCGCGACAGCGUGGGGAGCAGACAGGAUUAGAAACCCCAGUAGUCC
This 456-nucleotide ribosomal RNA is filed under the name uncultured bacterium. RNAcentral describes it as "bacterial SSU rRNA". It matches the Rfam family "Bacterial small subunit ribosomal RNA", at positions 339 to 796 of the family's 1533-position model. The record is from RNAcentral.